GGUGGCUCAAUGGUAGAGCGUUUGCUUUGAAUGCAUGAGGCCCAGGGUUUGAUUCCUCAGCACCA
This 65-nucleotide transfer RNA is filed under the name Dipodomys ordii (Ord's kangaroo rat). It matches the Rfam family "tRNA". From Rfam's summary of the family: Transfer RNA (tRNA) molecules are approximately 80 nucleotides in length. Their secondary structure includes four short double-helical elements and three loops (D, anti-codon, and T loops). The record is from Rfam by way of RNAcentral. Lineage: Eukaryota; Metazoa; Chordata; Mammalia; Rodentia; Heteromyidae.